GGAAUGAUGACACAAAGCCCCUUGAACAGAAGAGUGAUUAAUGCAUCAAAUUGCCAUCAAUACCUCUCAAAAGGAAUUGGCUGUGUCAGCUCAGCAGUACAGCCCUUUUUUGUCACAUCAGCCCUCAGGGAGUCAACAACAGCCAAUGGCAAGCCAUGUUGGCUGUAGCAGCAGUGCCCUGAAGCUGGACACAGGCUUUUUCAAGCUCCACCCCUAAAUAACUUUCAAUUCUGUGAGUCACAAUAGGAACUGCCCCGAUGAAUGAUUAAUUAAACUAAAACCAAUCUGUGGGAGUUUGCAUUAUUCUCAGAGUCUCAUUAACCCACUUAAGACUUUUCUCUCUUGUCUCAGAGCAGGGCAGAGGAAUUCUAACGCUGGAAAUUCAGUGCAGAAGGACUCCUGUAAUGGUGUAUCUCCAUUAAAAAUGAUAUAAAGCCGUACAUUCAAGUAAUUCAGGAACACCAUUGGAACAUUGCUGGAAACACGUCUUUAUCUCUCCCCUGCGAACAGGUUGGGUUGGAGGGGAUGUGAGGCUGCGGUGCUGAAAGACACACACUAGUAGGCCUAUGGACUAUCCUGUUAGUCACUUGAUUGAGUCACAGGUUUCUAAAUGGGUCCUUUCCACCCCUGUAUGAGGGGAUGAGUGAUGGUAAUGAUGAAGGAGACAAUGAUGUUGGUGCUCUGGUUUCCUCCAUGUCUCCAUCUCUCUUUCUCCUCCCCCAUCUUACCCUCUGUCUUCCAUUAUUCUUUUCUGGCACAGCUUCACAUGGUUCUGCAUGGUUGUUUCUCCUGUCCCCGGGCACCGCUGUGCUGUGCAGUGAGCAGUGCUGGCUCUCAGACCCCGCGUCAUUUGGUAAAAUGCAGGAGAAAAUGCCAGCUUCUUCUCAAGGCACAAUACACAACCUGACUGACUCACUUGAAUGAGAUGAAUGAAUGACGAGCUGGUUGACUCUCCAACACUGAAUGAGAUGAAUGAAUGACGAGCUGGUUGACUCUCCAACACUGAAUGAGAUGAAUGAAUGACGAGCUGGUUGACUCUCCAACACUGAAUGAGAUGAAUGAAUGACGAGCUGGUUGACUCUCCAACACUGAAUGAGAUGAAUGAAUGACGAGCUGGUUGACUCUCCAACACUGAAUGAGGGUCAUAGUAAAGAUGAUGCAGACUAAGUGCCAACCCUGCAUCAUACUUAUUGAGACAGACU
RNAcentral lists this long non-coding RNA (1202 nucleotides) under Salmo salar (Atlantic salmon). RNAcentral's name for it is "lncRNA (ENSSSAG00000109625.1, ENSSSAG00020081740.1, ENSSSAG00075062937.1)". The record is from RNAcentral. Lineage: Eukaryota; Metazoa; Chordata; Actinopteri; Salmoniformes; Salmonidae.